CAUAUGGCACCUUUUUUUUGCAUAAGAAAUAUUUUCUAUGAGACAUGGCAUGACGGGGUUUGUGCAACUUGCUGUAUUGAUGCCAUGCAUGUGGGAUGGUUAAAUUAGACUUGCCAAAACAACAUUAUGUAGGUCCAGAAAAUUUUUCAUGUGUACUAUUAGACACUCAAAAGUAUUUUCUGAUAUUCAUAGGCCGAUACUCUUUGUUCUUUCACACGCUGAUAUGGAAGCAUG
This 234-nucleotide long non-coding RNA is filed under the name Elaeis guineensis (African oil palm). Its description in RNAcentral is "long non-coding RNA (EGUI_LNC072181)". The record is from RNAcentral. Lineage: Eukaryota; Viridiplantae; Streptophyta; Magnoliopsida; Arecales; Arecaceae.